GCUAAUACAUGCGCACAUACCUCUUCCCUCGUGGAAGGGUAGUGUUUAUUAGAUACAGAACCAACCCACCUUCGGGUGGUCCUCAGGUGAUUCAUAGUAACCGAACGGAUCGCAUUAUGGCCUUUUGGUCGGCGAUGGAUCAUUCAAGUUUCUGACCUAUCAGCUUUCGACGGUACUGUAUUGGACUACCGUGGCAGUGACGGGUAACGGGGAAUUAGGGUUCGAUUCCGGAGAGGGAGCCUGAGAAACGGCUACCACAUCUAAGGAAGGCAGCAGGCGCGCAAAUUACCCAAUCCUGACUCAGGGAGGUAGUGACAAGAAAUAACAACACUGGAAAUUAUAUUUCUAGUGAUUGGAAUGAUGGGAAUCCAAACCCCUUUCAGAGUAACAAUUGGAGGGCAAGUCUGGUGCCAGCAGCCGCGGUAAUUCCAGCUCCAAUAGCGUAUAUUAAAGUUGUUGCAGUUAAAAAGCUCGUAGUUGGAUAUCUGCUGGAAGCAGCCAGUCCGCCCUUUGUGGGUGUGCACUUGGUGAAUUCUGGCAUCCUCCUGAUUGGUGUUAUCAUCACUUCAUUGUGUUGAUGGCAGCUGUCAGGACCGUUACUUUGAGAAAAUUAGAGUGUUUCAAGCAGGCUUGUUGCCUUGAAUACUGCAGCAUGGAAUAACAAGAUAGGAUUUCGGUUCUAUUUUGUUGGUUUCUAGGACUGAAGUAAUGAUUAAUAGGGACAGUUGGGGGCAUUCGUAUUUAACUGUCAGAGGUGAAAUUCUUAGAUUUGUUAAAGACGAA
This 783-nucleotide ribosomal RNA is filed under the name Sarcocystis neurona. Its description in RNAcentral is "SSU rRNA". It matches the Rfam family "Eukaryotic small subunit ribosomal RNA", at positions 163 to 939 of the family's 1831-position model. Lineage: Eukaryota; Apicomplexa; Conoidasida; Eucoccidiorida; Sarcocystidae. RNAcentral also lists the same sequence under 1 other name. The record is from RNAcentral.